GCAUGGGUUUGGAUUUAUGUCAGGCCUGUCUCCUGGAUCUCUCACAUUCUCCCAUGGCAAAGGAAACUAUGGCCUUGAACCAUUGCCUGGCCUUCGUCCAUAGGCUGCAAACACAGAAGUGGGGGUGGGGGGAUA
Molecule: small nucleolar RNA, 135 nt
Filed under: Myotis lucifugus (little brown bat)
Lineage: Eukaryota; Metazoa; Chordata; Mammalia; Chiroptera; Vespertilionidae
Description: Small nucleolar RNA SNORA42/SNORA80 family (ENSMLUG00000029666.1)
Source: RNAcentral